GGAAAUUUCAUUUCGAUGUUUGAUCGUUCAAAUGCUUAAUCACAAAAUAUAACAUAGAGAAAGUACGUGAAGAAAAUUAAAACUAGUAAUAGGUUAUAGAAGGAUAAGCUAUAAUUUCAUCUACAUUUUAUAUAAGUACUUCAUACCUGAACUUGUUGGCCUUUAGCCAGUGUUCCUCAUCCCGGCUGCAAUACCGUUUAUAGUAAUGAGCAAUGCAUCUCUAAGCUUAUGGUUAUCUUCAUCGCUUCUCAACCUCUUUAAUAUCUCCACCUGAAGUAUAUUCAUUGGAUUCAGAUAUGGAAGCCUGCUCUCGAUUAACCUCCGCAAGCUACGGUUGUUUGCUGAUAGCUUCUCAUGACCAGUAACCUGUAGGACAUAGUUUCCUGUUGACAAGAGCUCCCUCCGCAUUUCUGCACCGAGUCCCCUUCGUGAUUCAGACACUAGAACGUCAUCAUAAUGCUUGGCUAUAGGAAUGUCUGCUUUCCCUAAAACCAUCUCUAUAAGAUCAACAGUGGACUGGAAGAAGGGCCAUUCUCUGUACAUUGCGCGUAAGUCUUCUGUAUGUCCCUUGUCACAAACACCUUUCAAACCUGCACCAACUCCAAGCCAUGCAGGGAGGACAAAUCUUGUUUGGGUCCACGCAAAUAUCCAUGGAAUUGCACGGAGUUGACCGAUUCCACCUGAACUCUUUCUCCUUGUAGGACGGCUACCAAUGUUGAGAUAUCCUAGCUCAGCCUGAGGUGUUGCUUCGUGGAAGUAAGUAAGGAACUCAGGGUUUUCAUAUACUGUGCUUCUAUAACUCCUGCAGCUCAAAUUUGAUAUGUCAUCCAUCAGAUUACGCCAUUUUUGUUCCCUUGGAGGCUGUGGGGGACGUAAAGUAGCAAGUAGAACAGCUGUAGUGUAUAUCUCUAGCUGCCGAACAGCCAUUUGGGGUAAUCCGAAUUUCGCCUGCACCAUUUCUCCUUGUUCCGUAGAUCUAAGAGAACCCAUAACAGAUCCAGGUGGCUGGGAUUGAAUUGCAAGGUAUGUAGGACCACCACCACGGCCAAUGCUUCCACCGCGUCCAUGGAAUAGAGUUAUUUUUAUUCCAUAUUCAUUACAUGCAGCUACAACAUCUUCUUGAGCUUUGUAAAGCUCCCAUGCAGCAGUGAAACGGCCAGCAUCUUUUCCAGAAUCAGAAUAACCAACCAUAACCUCCUGAUGCCCAUUGUGGUUCUUUAUGACGUGGUCCCUAUACCAAUCAAUUGAUAGUAAUCUUCUAAUCACUGAGCCAGCUUCUCUCAAGUCUUUCACGGUCUCAAACAGAGGAACCACCCGCAGUGUUCCACCAGGACAAGGCCUGCCUAGUUCCCCAGCAACAGCAAGGCGUGCAUCCUUCUGUAAAAGCUCUACGGCUAGGACGUCACUGGCCUGCCAAAUGAACAUGCAUCAAAAUGCAAGUAUAUAAUGGAAAACGGAAACAAGUAGCUCAAACUUGAGAUCAGAUAUCCUUUGGGCAGAUUUAGCUGAACCAUUCCACCACUGCCAAAGGUAGCCCUAUGAGUAAACCAUGUGAAUAUUGAUAUUGAUCAUACAUUUGAAGCCAUGGAAAUAACAUAAGCUCCAAGUGAAUCGCUUCCUAAUUCAGCUGCUACUUUGAAUGUGUCCAAGACUUCUUUGACAUCAGGCGGAACCUCUAUAGUAGGAGGAACCAAAGGCCUUUUCCCUUUUAGCUCUUUUAUCAGAAAGUCCAGCUUUUUUUCUUCAUCCCACUCACUAUAUGUACCCAUGUCCAAGUAAUUUGUGAUUGCAUCAAGUGCCUCAGAGUGCCUACCAGAUUCCUGACGAAGGUCAAGCUUCAUUAAGACCAUCCCAAAUGUAGAAACCCGCCUGAUUAGGUCAGCAAGCCGGCCAUCAGCUAGAACCCCAGACCCACAUGAUUGCAGCGAGUCAUAGCACAAUAGAAGUGGUUCCAAAAGCUGAUCUGAUGUUUCAUAAUAAUCCAUAGGAUCAUGGUCACAUGGAAGAUCUUCAAGAAGAAGCUCCAGCCGCUUCCGAGACUUGAGGAGCUUUUCUUUUACAUCCCCAAGGACAAUCCUGUAAGGCGCAAUUCCAGGCCUAUGUGAUGAACUUGGUUCCAUUAGCUUUUGGAAGCUGGCCCUUCCGAUCUGGUUCUCGGCAAAAAGUUUCCUUUGGAGAAGCUGACUAGCACUUAAUGAAGCAGACCGUGGUGUUAUAUUUCCAUUUCCGUAUGCCUUCUCAGUAUUUUUACUAGAAUCACCAUCAAGGGGACCCACUUUUGAAGUAGUCUGACCAUCCUUAUUUUUGAGCGGUAUGACACCUGUCCCCGGAAGAGCCAGUCUAGGAUAGUGGGACUCAACGUCACUGCAUGCUGUGCAAGAGGGCAGAUCAGCUCUGGUAGGAAGCUGUGUAGGAAAAGGAGGAGCAUGUUGUCCUUGAUGUUUUGAUUGAUUCCAAUUUGAGGAGUGAUUCCAAGAGUCAAAUUGAUUGUCAGAGGUAUUUCCUUUUUCUAAGAUUUCAUGAGCCAAUCUUGCAAAUCUUUCACUGCAUUGAGUCAUGGAAAGUUCAAAUCUGAGGCUAUCUACUUCUCGUACAUAAAGAUCAAUAGCCAUCCACCUGGACAGAAGAGAGACAUCUUUUGUGACCUUUGCUGUGACAUUUGGAUUUCCAUCUCGAUCGCCCCCCAUCCAAGAGCCAAAUCUUAUCGGCGUGCAAGUCAAUGGUAGAGGCCUUCCAGUAUGCUUUUUUAAAGCAUUGCUGACUCGACGUAAAUAAUGGGGCACAGCUUUCCACAGUGUCUGUUCCACAAUAUGUAAACCAGCCCUAGCUUCAUCAACUGGAGUAGGUUUGUGUCGCCUGAGCUCAUCUGUUUGCCAUAUAGAUGUCAUCUCUCUGACCAGAUCUUCAAUCAGCAUGUCUCUGUCUUCAAUCCCAAGAUCAGGCCUGUCAUUAUAUUCCAAAAGGUGUGCAAUUCUGAUGUGUUUGUAUUGUAAGGUACGACGGUUUAUUUGCGUGGGAUGUGCAGUGAGAACAAUCUCAACCGCCUGCUUGCAAACAGUAUCAUAAAGCUGAUCUGGGGGAACACCACUCUGUAAGAGGUGGUUGAAAAUGUCAUCACAAGAUUUUGACAAUUGUACUACUCCUCGUGUCUUGCGUACUCUAUGAUGUGUUUCUGCAAUUCCCAUCAAAUUAAGAUAAUGGCUAAACGUACGGGCGAGAUCAAGCGCCUCCUCUAACGUCAUUUUUGAUAACUCUGAUGCCAGUUGUUUCUCAAGAAGCUCUGCUGUAUCCUCAAUUCCCGCCAUUCGCAUGUUACACGCACCCUGAGCAAGGACACGAGUUCGUUCAACUUUUUCCAUGAAUUUAGGACCAACUUCUCUAUGAAGAACAUCGUUAAGAAGGCUUUGAAGCAACCUACAAUCAUCAUCAAAUCCUUGAAACGAGAUUUCCUCUGCUAUAUCAUCAGUUACGUCUGUCAUUGUUACAGUUUUUGCUUAAAUAAUCAAAAAAAAAAAACGAAGGUUUGAGCUGAUCGUCAAUGGCGGAGAUUUGGAGGAAAAUGGUG
Molecule: unclassified non-coding RNA, 3565 nt
Filed under: Hevea brasiliensis (rubber tree)
Lineage: Eukaryota; Viridiplantae; Streptophyta; Magnoliopsida; Malpighiales; Euphorbiaceae
Source: RNAcentral